AUGUCGAACUCUCCAUAUUCUGCGGGUACUGCAGGAACAAAGAGGCGCCAAGCAAAGCCUAAAAGCGACAAUGAGAAUAUAAUUGAGGAGAGCAAUGUUACCACCAACAUUGGUCACGAUACCAUUGGCUGCAAAAGAACAAAGAGAGAAGUUGCCCGUUCGAAUUUCAAUGAGAAGGCAUUUGACUUACUUGAAGAAGAUUCACUUGUCACAACCAAGGAAAUCAGAACUGAGGAGGAAGCAGAGGCAGUUAGGUUGACAAGAACAGGACCUGAAGAUGGGAAAUGCUGCAGAAAACUCAUCGAUUUCAUCCUGCAUGGUAAAGAUGAUAAUCUGCAACCAUUUGAAAUGUCUCAGAGUGAUGGUGUCUCCAUGACAGCUCUUGUCAUGCCAUUUGAUGCUCAUAUCGAAAAGGACAGGAAAAAGGGUAUACGAUGUGUCAAAUUUGGGCGUAUCAAGGGAUGGGCAGUUUCCGGCUAUAAGGAAGGCGCCGCGGUAAUUUCGCUCUCAACAGAACUAGCUGACUAUAUAUGUGUGAAGGCCACAAGAAGCUACAGGUCUCAUUUUGACCUUUUCAGCCAGAAAGCUCAUGUUUGUGUUGAAGUUUACAGGGAGUUAGCUAGAUCGGUUGGCGGAAACCCUUUGCUGAGCCUAGAAGAGCUGCUUGCCGGUGUUGUCAGUUCCAUUAAUUUGAGCAGUGGCUUCAAUGGAAGAGUGAGAAAGGAAUUUGUGAUAUCCAUCGGUGAGUUCGUACAUAACCAGCUCACAGCACUGGAUCAUGCAGCAAACAACGAUGAUGAGAUGUUGUUGACGCUGCCUGCUCUUGUGGCACUAAGAAAUGAGUGUAAAUCUAACGUGGGAUUCAGCAAGCUGGCAGCUUUGGCCUCACAUGAAACUUUGAUGAUCAAGGAUGGGCGGUGCAAGGAGGUGCAGGUGACCGAGAACGAGGAUGAAGAAGAGAAACUAGCAAGGUUGUUGCAAGAAGUGGAAGAGUGGAAUAUGAAGAAGCCGAGAGCCAAGAGUGGAAGUUCACAGAAAAUUAAAAAUGCCUACAUCAAGAUCAGUGAAGCUGAGAUUGCCAAUGACUACCCACUGCCAGCAUACUAUACACCAUGCGAUAUAGAAAAGGAUGAGUACAUGUUUGGCAGUGAAGAUGGCAUGCUGCCAGUAAGAAUACUCAACAACUGGGCUCUAUAUAAUUCAGAUUUCAAAUUCAUGUCUUUGGAGCUCAUCCCUAUGGAACCAGGUGCUAAAAAUGAUACUGUUAUCUUUGGGUCUGGUUGUAUGAGAGACGAUGAUGGUACUUUCUGUUCAACAGCUGAGCCAGCAGAGUUAUCUUCUUCCUCGAGUAAAUCUGACCAGGAAGAUCAAGGGAUUCCGGUUUACCUAAGCCCAAUCAAGGAAUGGCUUGUAGAAUCUUGUGGCUCGAUGAUCUGCAUAUCUAUUCAAACCGACAUAGCUUGCUACAAGUUACUCCAGCCAACGAAGCAGUAUGCGCCAUGGUGUGCCACUGUCCUUAAAACAGCAAGAUUGACUGUUAGUAUCAUCGCCAUUUUAAAAGAACAAACUCGCGCUUCAAAACUUUCCUUCGCUGAUGUUACCAAGAGAGUAGCAGAAUUUGAGAGUGGGCAUCAUGCAUUCAUUUCAACAGAUGCAACACUUGUUGAAAGAUAUGUUGUGGUGCAUGGACAGAUAGUCCUUCAACAGUUCGCAAAUUAUACAGAUGAGUCCAUUCGACGGUGCGCCUUUGUCACAGGCCUUAUCAAGAAGAUGAAAGAAAGAGGGCAGAUGAAGCUAGCAACAAAGAAGAAAUCUCAAGCGGCGAGAGGAGAGAAUCUGAACCCAAGUGCAAAAAUGGCCCGAAUAUCAAAACAAAAUCUUAUGCGUGCGACAACCACAAAGUUGGUCAGCAGGAUAUGGGAUGAUUACGAUGCAACCCAUUUCCCAGAGGAUUCAAAGGAGGGGGGUGAGAAUGAUGAGCAAAAGGUAUUUGAGGAGGAACAAGAAGAAAAUGAAGAAGAUGAUGUUGAGGGGGUGGUUGAAGUUGGCGAGGGACAUGUUUCAAGGACCUCGCCAUCAACAAGGUCUAGAAAUACGUCAUCAGAUGCUUGUGAAGAAAUAGAAUGGAAAGGUCAAACAGUUGGGAAAACACCAUCUGGAGAAGCUCUGUACAGAAGUGUGAGAUUUGGAGAUCUCAGUGUUGCUGUUGGUGGGGCACUCACAUUGGAUGGUCAUUCAGGAGAAGCCAUCAUGUGUUUUGUUGAGUACAUGUAUGAGACACAUGAUGGCACACAGAUGAUCCAUGGUAGAGUUCUGCAAAAUGGUUCAGACACUGUCCUGGGCAAUGCUGCAAAUGAACGAGAGGUGUUCUUUACCAAUGAUUGUUUAGAGUCCAAAGUAGGUGACAUGAGAGAAUCAUUGACUGUCAAUGUCCAGCAGAUUCCCUGGGGCCACAAGUGCAGAAAAGAGCAGUUGGAAGCUAUUAGGGUGGAGAGGGCCAGGGCAGAGGAGAGGAAGAAGAAGGGUUUGCCAUUGGAGUACAUCUGCAAAAGCAUGUACUGUCCUGAGAAAGGUGCCUUUUUCUCCCUCCCUUAUGAGAAAAUGGGCGCCGGAACCGGCACUUGCAGUUCUUGUGAGGAGCGACAAGCGGUCCGUGAUGAGUUCAAAAUAUUGUCAGAGACCAGCUUUGUCCUCAAGAAUGUCAAAUACAAUGUUCACGACUUCCUGUAUAUCAGGCCUCAGUUUUUCUCUCCCGUCGAGGGUCGUGGGACCUACAGGGCUAGAAGAAAUGUGGGCCUGAAGCCCUAUGUGGUAUGUCGUUUGCAGAGUGUCAAUGCUGCUGCUGGAUCUCGUAAAGCUAAUCUGAAAUCAACAAAAGUCAGUGUAAGAAGGCUAUACAGGCCUGAUGAUAUUUCAUCGGAUAAAGCUUACUCUUCAGAUAUCAGAGAGGUGUACUACAGUGAAGAUAUAGUUAGUGUGCCUGUUGGGAUGAUAGAGGGAAAAUGUGAGGUUACAGCAAAGGAUGACCUUCCAAAUUCAAAUCUUCCAGUAGUAGUUGAGCACGCCUUUUACUGUGAACAUUUAUAUGAUCCUGGCACUGAAACUCUCAAGCAGCUACCGACCAAUGUUAAGCUCACCCUGGCAAGGAAGGCGCCUGCUUCGAGAAAGAAUAAAGGGAAGCAGAUUUGUGAUGAUGAGCAAGCCGGUUCGGAUAAACACAAGGAUGAAACACAAGAGAACUGUCUUGCAACCCUUGAUAUUUUUGCUGGCUGUGGAGGUUUGUCUGAAGGGCUGCACCUAGCUGGCGCUUCACGUACAAAAUGGGCGAUCGAGUAUGAAGAACCUGCUGCGCAAGCAUUUCUUCAAAAUCAUCCUGAAGCAGCAGUGUUUGUGGAGAACUGCAAUGUGAUUCUGAAGGCGAUAAUGGAUAAGUGUGGCGAUGUUGAUGACUGCGUCUCCACUCCCGAGGCUUCUGCGGGAGCAGCAGAACUUUCAGAUGAGAAGGUUAAGAAUCUCCCUGUGCCCGGUGAAGUAGAAUUCAUCAAUGGUGGCCCUCCAUGCCAGGGGUUCUCCUGGAUGAACAGAUUCAAGCAGAGCCCAUGGAGCAAGGUUCAGUGCGAGAUGAUUCCGGCAUUCCUGUCCUUCGCAGAGUAUUUCCGGCCUAGGUUCUUCCUUUUGGAAAACGUCAGGAACUUUGUUUCGUUUAACAAGGGCCAGACCUUCAGACUGACACUAGCAUCGCUCCUCGAGAUGGGGUACCAGGUUCGAUUCGGCAUUCUAGAGGCGGGUGCUUAUGGCGUCGCGCAGUCCAGGAAAAGGGCGUUCAUCUGGGCCGCCGCGCCUGGGGAGACUCUUCCUGACUGGCCUGAACCAAUGCAUGUCUUCGCUAGCCCUGAGCUGAAAAUAAAACUGCCAGGAGGUAAAUACUAUGCUGCUGCCAGGAGCACAGCUGGAGGAGCUCCUUUCCGCUCUAUGACAGUCAGGGAUACAAUCGGCGAUCUUCCACCGGUGGAGAAUGGCGCCAGCAACCCAACAAUAAAGUACGGAGGCGAGCCCAUCUCCUGGUUCCAGAAGAAGAUUCGAGGCGAUACGCUUUCGCUGAGUGACCACAUAUCCAAAAAGAUGAACGAGCUGAAUCUCAUAAGGUGCAAGCACAUCCCAAAGCGCCCUGGCUGUGACUGGCAUGACCUGCCAGAUGAGAAGGUGAAGCUAUCCAGAGGGAAAACGGUGGAUUUGAUCCCUAGGUGCAUGCUCAAAACAGCCAAGACGAACAAUCAGUGGAAAGGCCUGUGUGGGAGGCUGGACUGGGAGGGCAACUUCCCCACAUCAGUCACAGAUCCCCAGCCAAUGCGCAGGGUCGGCAUGUGCUUCCACCCUGAUCAGGACAGGAUCAUCACUGUUCGUGAAUGUGCGCGAUCCCAGGGCUUCCCUGAUGGCUACCAUUUCGCUGGCAACAUCCAGAGCAAGCACAGGCAGAUCGGGAAUGCGGUACCACCUCCCCUUGCAUACGCGCUAGGGAGGAAGCUCAAGCAAGCCAUCGAUGCCAAGCUGCCUAAGUUAACUGAAGACAUGAUCCAAGUGGGACUUAAUUUACAACUGGGCCCUAUAUAA
RNAcentral lists this ribosomal RNA (4611 nucleotides) under Triticum aestivum (bread wheat). RNAcentral's name for it is "partial small subunit ribosomal RNA". The record is from RNAcentral. Lineage: Eukaryota; Viridiplantae; Streptophyta; Magnoliopsida; Poales; Poaceae.